Molecule: ribosomal RNA, 465 nt
Filed under: Vreelandella stevensii
Lineage: Bacteria; Pseudomonadati; Pseudomonadota; Gammaproteobacteria; Oceanospirillales; Halomonadaceae
Description: partial 16S ribosomal RNA
Rfam family: Bacterial small subunit ribosomal RNA
Source: RNAcentral
CCUACGGGGGGCUGCAGUGGGGAAUAUUGGACAAUGGGCGAAAGCCUGAUCCAGCCAUGCCGCGUGUGUGAAGAAGGCCUUCGGGUUGUAAAGCACUUUCAGUGGGGAAGAAAGCCUUGGGGCUAAUACCCUCGAGGAAGGACAUCACCCACAGAAGAAGCACCGGCUAACUCCGUGCCAGCAGCCGCGGUAAUACGGAGGGUGCGAGCGUUAAUCGGAAUUACUGGGCGUAAAGCGCGCGUAGGCGGUCUGAUAAGCCGGUUGUGAAAGCCCCGGGCUCAACCUGGGAACGGCAUCCGGAACUGUCAGGCUAGAGUGCAGGAGAGGAAGGUAGAAUUCCCGGUGUAGCGGUGAAAUGCGUAGAGAUCGGGAGGAAUACCAGUGGCGAAGGCGGCCUUCUGGACUGACACUGACGCUGAGGUGCGAAAGCGUGGGUAGCAAACAGGAAUAGAUACCCGUGUAGUC